RNAcentral lists this ribosomal RNA (520 nucleotides) under uncultured Entrophospora. RNAcentral's name for it is "SSU rRNA". It matches the Rfam family "Eukaryotic small subunit ribosomal RNA", at positions 569 to 1084 of the family's 1831-position model. The record is from RNAcentral. Lineage: Eukaryota; Fungi; Glomeromycota; Glomeromycetes; Entrophosporales; Entrophosporaceae.
AGCAGCCGCGGUAAUUCCAGCCCCAAUAGCGUAUAUUAAAGUUGUUGCAGUUAAAAAGCUCGUAGUUGAAUUUCGGGAUUGACACAUCGGUCGUGCCUUAAGGGGUAUGAACUGGUGUAGUCAAUUUCUCACCUUCCGGAGAACCGCGAUGCCCUUAAUUGGGUGUCACGGGGAACCAGGACCUUUACUUUGAAAAAAUUAGAGUGUUUAAAGCAGGCAUUUUGCUUGAAUACAUUAGCAUGGAAUAAUAAAAUAGGACGGCAUGAUUCUAUUUUGUUGGUUUCUAGGAUCACCGUAAUGAUUAAUAGGGAUAGUUGGGGGCAUUAGUAUUCAAUUGUCAGAGGUGAAAUUCUUGGAUUUAUUGAAGACUAACUACUGCGAAAGCAUUUGCCAAGGAUGUUUUCAUUAAUCAAGAACGAAAGUUAGGGGAUCGAAGACGAUCAGAUACCGUCGUAGUCUUAACCAUAAACUAUGCCGACUAGGAAUCAGACGAUGUUAAUUUUUUAAUGACUCGUUUGGU